Molecule: signal recognition particle RNA, 72 nt
Filed under: Coriobacteriales bacterium
Lineage: Bacteria; Bacillati; Actinomycetota; Coriobacteriia; Coriobacteriales
Description: partial signal recognition particle sRNA small type
Rfam family: Bacterial small signal recognition particle RNA
About the family: The signal recognition particle (SRP) is a universally conserved ribonucleoprotein involved in the co-translational targeting of proteins to membranes.
Source: RNAcentral
UCGAUGGGCUCGGGCGACGUCACACCUCGAACCUGGUCAGGGCCGGGAGGCAGCAGCCAUAAGGGGUCACUG